This 25-nucleotide non-coding RNA is filed under the name Cricetulus griseus (Chinese hamster). Lineage: Eukaryota; Metazoa; Chordata; Mammalia; Rodentia; Cricetidae. The record is from RNAcentral.
AUAAGUAAAGGCAGAAAGGAUAAUG